GGGCUCGUAGCUCAGCUGGUAGAGGUGCCGAAACGAUUGUUUCUGCCCAUCAUUAGCAUCCGGCUCUUAACCGGAAGGUCGCGGGUUCGAACCCCGUCGAGCCCA
Molecule: transfer RNA, 105 nt
Filed under: Candidatus Woesearchaeota archaeon
Lineage: Archaea; Nanobdellati; Candidatus Woesearchaeota
Description: tRNA-Lys
Rfam family: tRNA
About the family: Transfer RNA (tRNA) molecules are approximately 80 nucleotides in length. Their secondary structure includes four short double-helical elements and three loops (D, anti-codon, and T loops).
Source: RNAcentral